AUUGAACGCUGGCGGCAGGCCUAACACAUGCAAGUCGAGCGGAUGAAGGGAGCUUGCUCCUGGAUUCAGCGGCGGACGGGUGAGUAAUGCCUAGGAAUCUGCCUGGUAGUGGGGGAUAACGUCCGGAAACGGGCGCUAAUACCGCAUACGUCCUGAGGGAGAAAGUGGGGGAUCUUCGGACCUCACGCUAUCAGAUGAGCCUAGGUCGGAUUAGCUAGUUGGUGGGGUAAAGGCCUACCAAGGCGACGAUCCGUAACUGGUCUGAGAGGAUGAUCAGUCACACUGGAACUGAGACACGGUCCAGACUCCUACGGGAGGCAGCAGUGGGGAAUAUUGGACAAUGGGCGAAAGCCUGAUCCAGCCAUGCCGCGUGUGUGAAGAAGGUCUUCGGAUUGUAGAGCACUUUAAGUCGGGAGGAAGGGCAGUAAGUUAAUACCUUGCUGUUUUGACGUUACCAACAGAAUAAGCACCGGCUAACUUCGUG
This 484-nucleotide ribosomal RNA is filed under the name uncultured bacterium. RNAcentral's name for it is "partial 16S ribosomal RNA". It matches the Rfam family "Bacterial small subunit ribosomal RNA", at positions 30 to 507 of the family's 1533-position model. The record is from RNAcentral.